GAAGUAAAAAGUCGUAACAAGGUCUCCGUUGGUGAACCAGCG
This 42-nucleotide ribosomal RNA is filed under the name Cylindrocarpon sp. PB1-R1-A Fr. RNAcentral's name for it is "partial 17S ribosomal RNA". RNAcentral also lists the same sequence under 1 other name. Lineage: Eukaryota; Fungi; Ascomycota; Sordariomycetes; Hypocreales; Nectriaceae. The record is from RNAcentral.